CAUCUUUAGUUGCCAGCAGGUUAAGCUGGGCACUCUAGAGAAACUGCCCGUGAUAAUCGGGAGGAAGGUGUGGAUGACGUCGGAUCCUCAUGGCCCUUACGGGUUGGGCUACACACGUGCUACAAUGGCAGUGACAAUGGGUUAAUCCCAAAAAGCUGUCUCAGUUCGGAUUGGGGUCUGCAACUCGACCCCAUGAAGUCGGAAUCGCUAGUAAUCGCGUAACAGCAUGACGCGGUGAAUACGUUC
RNAcentral lists this ribosomal RNA (246 nucleotides) under unidentified alpha proteobacterium groupC. RNAcentral's name for it is "partial 16S small subunit ribosomal RNA". It matches the Rfam family "Bacterial small subunit ribosomal RNA", at positions 1106 to 1373 of the family's 1533-position model. Lineage: Bacteria; Pseudomonadati; Pseudomonadota; Alphaproteobacteria. The record is from RNAcentral.